GAAAUGCGAUACGUAAUAUGAAUUGCAGAUUUUCGUGAAUCAUCGAAUCUUUGAACGCACAUUGCGCCCUGUGGUAUUCCACAGGGCAUGCCUGUUUGAGCGUCAUUUCUCCCUCAAACCUCUGGUUUGGCGUUGAGUGAUACUCGGUUUACUUGAAAAACAUGAAAAGCAUAACUAUUAGGUUUUACCAACUCGUUAUACUAAUCUACAAGUUUGACCUCAAAUCAGGUAGGACUACCCGCUGAACUUAA
Molecule: unclassified non-coding RNA, 251 nt
Filed under: fungal sp.
Lineage: Eukaryota; Fungi
Also listed under: 1 other name
Description: partial contains 5.8S ribosomal RNA, internal transcribed spacer 2, and large subunit ribosomal RNA
Rfam family: 5.8S ribosomal RNA (bases 1-105)
Source: RNAcentral